AGAGUUUGAUCAUGGCUCAGGAUGAACGCUAGCUACAGGCUUAACACAUGCAAGUCGAGGGGCAGCAUUAGAUUAGCUUGCUAAUUAGAUGGCGACCGGCGCACGGGUGAGUAACGCGUAUCCAACCUUCCCCCUGCUCAGGGAUAGCCCGGUGAAAACCGGAUUAAGACCUGAUAGUUUCACUAGAUGGCAUCUGACGGUGAAUAAAGGUUUCGGCAAGGGAUGGGGAUGCGUCUGAUUAGCUUGUUGGCGGGGUAACGGCCCACCAAGGCGACGAUCAGUAGGGGUUCUGAGAGGAAGGUCCCCCACAUUGGAACUGAGACACGGUCCAAACUCCUAAACGGGAGGCAGCAGUGAGGAAUAUUGGUCAAUGGGCGGAAGCCUGAACCAGCCAAGUAGCCGUGCAGGAAGACGGCCCUAUGGGUUGUAAACUGCUUUUGUGCGGGAAUAAAGUCAGGGACGCGUCCCUGUUUGCAUGUACCGCAAGAAUAAGGACCGGCUAAUUCCGUGCCAGCCGCGGC
This 521-nucleotide ribosomal RNA is filed under the name uncultured bacterium. Its description in RNAcentral is "bacterial SSU rRNA". It matches the Rfam family "Bacterial small subunit ribosomal RNA", at positions 8 to 518 of the family's 1533-position model. The record is from RNAcentral.